AUGUGGAUGAAAGCAAAUAUGUACUGAUGUACCUAAAUGGAUUUACAAAAAUAUCUUUGAAAUGUUUUGUUAUACAGAUAUGGCAUCUAGUAUAAUUUUUUCCAACUUGAUUGUUGCAUUAUCAUAUAAUGAGAUUAGGUGCACAGCUUGCAGUCAGUUUAUUGUUUUUGCUAAAGAUCAUUGCUAGUAGGCCGACAAAAGACAGGUCUAAAAUGAAGCCUAAGAAAACAUGCUUAAGAUGAUAUUUUAAGAUUUUCUAAACAUUGGAUCGUUGCGGAAGGUUGUGAUUGGCACGGCAAGUGUUCUAAAAUGAAGCCAAAGAAAAUGGGGGAGAAAAUAAGGUUCGGCUUGAGGAAUUUAUGCAAUAAAGCAGUUUUAUAUUUGAUUCCUUCUUUAAUUAUAUUGCGUGUGUUCCUAAGCUGCAACCUAUUAAUAAUUUUAGUUUUAUAAUGUUCUUUGCCACUACCUUUCUAUUAUUCAUUCUUUUGCUUUGCAGGUUGUGACAAAAAUUGAUUGGCAUCGGAAAGGAGACUAUUUCACUACUGUCGUUCCUACUUCAAGAUAUCAAACUCUACACCUUCUAUAUGGAGCUAGAUUUGCAAAAGCCAUAUCCAACUCGAGGAAGUGACUUAUUGACAUGGGAGAGAACUUAUUGGUAACCAAGGACUUUGUGAAGAUAGCAAAUUUUGGCCUUGCUCGUGAAGUUCAUUCGAAGCCACCAUUCACAGAAUAGGUUUCA
Long non-coding RNA from Zingiber officinale, 739 nucleotides. RefSeq lists it as uncharacterized. NCBI's taxonomy places the organism in Eukaryota, Viridiplantae, Streptophyta, Magnoliopsida, Zingiberales, Zingiberaceae. The record is from RefSeq and is a predicted model, not a curated record. The transcript has 3 exons.